AAAUGAAUUGACGGGGGCCCGCACAAGCGGUGGAGCAUGUGGUUUAAUUCGAUGCAACGCGAAGAACCUUACCAGGUCUUGACAUCCAAAGAAUUCUUAGGAAACUAGGAAGUGCCUUUUAGGAGCUUUGAGACAGGUGGUGCAUGGUUGUCGUCAGCUCGUGUCGUGAGAUGUUGGGUUAAGUCCCGCAACGAGCGCAACCCUUGCUAUUAGUUGCUAACAGUUUAAGCUGAGCACUCUAAUGGGACUGCCCGUGACAAGCGGGAGGAAGGUGGGGAUGACGUCAAAUCAUCAUGCCCUUUAUGAUCUGGGCUACACACGUGCUACAAUGGGUGGUACAGAGAGCAGCAAAGUCGCGAGAUGGAGCGAAUCUCAGAAAGCCAUUCUCAGUUCGGAUUGGAGUCUGCAACUCGACUCCAUGAAGUCGGAAUCGCUAGUAAUCGCGUAUCAGAAUGUCGCGGUGAAUGCGUUCCCGGGCCUUGUACACACCGCCCGU
This 496-nucleotide ribosomal RNA is filed under the name uncultured bacterium. RNAcentral describes it as "bacterial SSU rRNA". It matches the Rfam family "Bacterial small subunit ribosomal RNA", at positions 903 to 1397 of the family's 1533-position model. The record is from RNAcentral.